GAUGAGUUAAACAAACUUGCUGCUGUCGUUCAGAGAGGAUGGAAAUCUCAUAAAUUUAGAUUGGCCGACAAAAAAGCUAAGGAAUUAGAUAAAGCGUGGAAGUCACAAAUGACCCCUGAG
Molecule: long non-coding RNA, 120 nt
Organism: Adelges cooleyi (spruce gall adelgid)
Lineage: Eukaryota; Metazoa; Arthropoda; Insecta; Hemiptera; Adelgidae
Exons: 3
Source: RefSeq, a predicted model, not a curated record